GCAGUAGUGGUUUAGUAGUUGAACUCUCGCCUUCUACGCUAGAGGUCUGGGUUCGGUUCCCAGCCAAAGCA
Molecule: transfer RNA, 71 nt
Filed under: Loxodonta africana (African savanna elephant)
Lineage: Eukaryota; Metazoa; Chordata; Mammalia; Proboscidea; Elephantidae
Rfam family: tRNA
About the family: Transfer RNA (tRNA) molecules are approximately 80 nucleotides in length. Their secondary structure includes four short double-helical elements and three loops (D, anti-codon, and T loops).
Source: Rfam by way of RNAcentral